This is a long non-coding RNA of Austrofundulus limnaeus, 710 nucleotides long. RefSeq lists it as uncharacterized. The transcript has 3 exons. The record is from RefSeq and is a predicted model, not a curated record. NCBI's taxonomy places the organism in Eukaryota, Metazoa, Chordata, Actinopteri, Cyprinodontiformes, Rivulidae.
AACGGCCCUGAUGGUCAAUGCUAUAAGAACAGAAAACUGUUUGCAUCGAUUAUACUGCAGGCAGUUUGUGAUAGUAAGGGUCGUUUCAUUGACACACAUGUAGGCUGGCCUGGGUCGGUCCACGAUGCAAGAGUGCUACGGCACAGCCCUAUCUACAGGUCAGCGUACCCUCCAGCUGGACAUUUCAUCCUUGCUGACRGAGGCUACCCCUGCCUUCAGCGACCACUCCCCCUCAUCACUCCAUACAAGAGGCCAGUAAGAGGUUUUGCAGCUCAGUGCUUUAACAGCUAUCACUCAAGGGCACGCUGCAUUAUAGAGCGUGCCUUUGGGAUGAUGAAGASCAGGUUCAGGGCUAUCUUCCUUCAAACACUGGAGGUUCACCACACCUUUGCCCCUCAUGUUAUCACAGCGUGUGCUGUCUUGCACAACAUCUGUCUCAGGGCUGGAGCCGUCGUGGCGCCGGAGGAUGAAACAGAGGAUGACGAUGAUGAGGAUAUGGUGGAGGAUGACCUGGAAGCUGUAGGCGGGGCUGCUUGGAGAGACCGAAUAUCAGCUGAGGUUUCUGCUCUUGUUGAGGCCCCAGUGGAUCACGAUUAUUGCUGAGUGACAUGGCCGGUGUUGCAUCUGCAUGCAGUGAAUGCCCAGCCCACAGACAAGAGGACAACUGAAACCUUAACAUUCAAGAAGUGUCUCUCUGAUGCCUGCUGUGU